ACCUUCGGGCCUCUUGCCAUCAGAUGUGCCCAGAUGGGAUUAGCUUGUUGGUGAGGUAACGGCUCACCAAGGCGACGAUCCCUAGCUGGUCUGAGAGGAUGACCAGCCACACUGGAACUGAGACACGGUCCAGACUCCUACGGGAGGCAGCAGUGGGGAAUAUUGCACAAUGGGCGCAAGCCUGAUGCAGCCAUGCCGCGUGUAUGAAGAAGGCCUUCGGGUUGUAAAGUACUUUCAGCGGGGAGGAAGGUGUUGUGGUUAAUAACCGCAGCAAUUGACGUUACCCGCAGAAGAAGCACCGGCUAACUCCGUGCCAGCAGCCGCGGUAAUACGGAGGGUGCAAGCGUUAAUCGGAAUUACUGGGCGUAAAGCGCACGCAGGCGGUCUGUCAAGUCGGAUGUGAAAUCCCCGGGCUCAACCUGGGAACUGCAUUCGAAACUGGCAGGCUUGAGUCUUGUAGAGGGGGGUAGAAUUCCAGGUGUAGCGGUGAAAUGCG
RNAcentral lists this ribosomal RNA (496 nucleotides) under Salmonella enterica. RNAcentral's name for it is "bacterial SSU rRNA". It matches the Rfam family "Bacterial small subunit ribosomal RNA", at positions 199 to 690 of the family's 1533-position model. RNAcentral also lists the same sequence under 1 other name. Lineage: Bacteria; Pseudomonadati; Pseudomonadota; Gammaproteobacteria; Enterobacterales; Enterobacteriaceae. The record is from RNAcentral.